GAUCAAGCUCGGUCCUCGCGAUGCAUCUAGAUUAGAGUUUGAUCCUGGCUCGACGAACGCUGGUAGCGUGGAUUAGGCAUGCCCGUCGAACGGGAUCCGGGAGGUAGCAUACUUCCUGGUGAGAGUGGCGGAUUGGGGAGGAACACGUGAGCACCUGCCUUGGAGUCGGGGAAAACCGUUGGAAACGACGGCUAAUACCGGAUGUGGCGCCCGGUGACAUCAUCGGAGCGCUAAAGGGGGCCGCAAGGCUCUCGCUCCUAGAGGGGCUCGCGCACCAUCAGCUUGUUGGCGGGGUAACGGCCCACCAAGGCCUACGGUUAGCUGGUCUGAGAGGAUGACCAGCCCCACUGGGACUGAGAUACUGCCCAGACUCCUACGGGAGGCUGCAGUCGAGGAUCAUUUGCAAUGGGCGAAAGCCUGACAAUGCGACGCUGCGUGGAGGAUGAAGGCCUUCGGGUUGUAAACUCCUGUCAUGGGGGAACAGCGAGGGGACCAAUACGUCCCUUAGUGAGUGUACCCAAGAGGAAUGGCGGCUACUCUGUGGCCAGCAGCCGCGGUAAUACGAGGCCAAGAGCCGUUGUUCGAAUUACUGGCGUAAAGGCCCGUAGCGGCAAGGCUGUCGAUUGUAAUUCCGCUCACCCGGAAAGUGCUCGAAACUACCUUGCUGGAUCCGGAGGAAUCGGA
This 684-nucleotide ribosomal RNA is filed under the name uncultured rumen bacterium. RNAcentral's name for it is "bacterial SSU rRNA". It matches the Rfam family "Bacterial small subunit ribosomal RNA", at positions 1 to 665 of the family's 1533-position model. The record is from RNAcentral.